RNAcentral lists this long non-coding RNA (1787 nucleotides) under Zonotrichia albicollis (white-throated sparrow). RNAcentral's name for it is "lncRNA (ENSZALG00000003177.1)". Lineage: Eukaryota; Metazoa; Chordata; Aves; Passeriformes; Passerellidae. The record is from RNAcentral.
CCCAGGAGAUGGACAAAAUGUGAAAGAAAGGAUUUCUAUGAAAAAAUGUCUGUGACAAUCCCCAACAGCUGACUCGGUGGUUUUUGUGGUGUUUUUUCCGUGGCAGGACGAGGCGGGGGCCGAGAAGGAGAACAGCUCGGUGCUGCAGCAGAGCAGCUCCCUGGCGGGCAGCAGGAACGGCGACGAGAACGUCAUCGACAACCCCUACCUGAGGCCCGUCAAGAAACCCAAAAUCCGCAGGAAGAAGUGAAGGAAACGGUUCCCGAAAUUCCCCUCAGGAGGGGUCUCUGGGCCCACUCCCACCCUGCUCUCCCUCUGCUCACUGCCCUGGGCCAGGAGAACCCUUGGGAAUGGUCCGGGGGGCUUCGGGCUCUGCUCUGGGGGGAUUUCAUUGCUGAGGGGCUGAGAGAGCCAGGGCUUGGAGGGGCUGGGGGACACAGGGAUGGAUUUGGAUUUGGAGGACACAGGAAUUGGAUUUGAAUUUGGAUUUGGAUUUAGAGGACACAGGAAUUGGAUUUGGAUUUGGAUUUGGAGGACACAGGAAUUGGAUUUGAAUUUGGAUUUGGAGGACACAGGGGCUGAAUUUGGAUUUGGAGGACCAAGGGAUUGGAUUUGGAUUUGGAUUUGCAUUUGGAUUUGGAGGACCAAGGGUUUGGAUUUGGAGGAACCCAGGGGUUGGAUUUGAAGAACACAGGGGUUGGAUGGACACAGGGGUUGGAUUUGGAUUUGAAUUUGGAUUUGGAGGACACAGGGGCUGGAUUUGGAUUUGGAUUUGGAGGACACAGGAAUUGGAUUUGGAUUCGGAUUUGGAUUUGGAGCACCCAAGGGUUGGAUUUGGAGGACACAGGAGCUGGAGCUGAGGGAUCCAGGGCUUGGAGGGACACAGGGAUUGGAUUUGGAUUUGAAUUUGGAUUUGGAGGACACAGGGGUUGGGAUUGGGUUUGGAUUUGGAGGACCCAGCCUUUAUUUCCCCCCUUUAUUCCCUUUAUUUCCUUCCUUUAUUUCCUCCUUUUAUUCCCUUUAUUUCCCCCCUUUACUUCCUUUAUUCCCCCCUUUAUUCCCUUUUAUUUCCCCCCUUUAUUCCCUUUAUUUCCUUCCUUUAUUUCCCCCCUUUAUUUUCCCCCUUUAUUCCCUUUAUUUCCCCCCUUUAUUCCCUUUAUUUCCUUUAUUUCCUCCCUUUAUUUCCUCCCUUUAUUCCCUUUAUUUCCCCCCUUUAUUUCCUCCCUUUAUUUCCCCCCUUUAUUUCCUGCCUUUAUUCCCUUUAUUUUCCCCCUUUAUUCCCUUUAUUUCCCCCCUUUAUUCCCUUUAUUUCCCCCUUUAUUUCCCCCCUUUAUUCCCUUUAUUUCCUUCAUUUAUUUCCUCCCUUUAUUUCCUUUAUUUCCCCCCUUUAUUUCCCCCUUUUAUUCCCUUUAUUCCCUUUAUUUCCCCCCUUUAUUUCCUCCCUUUAUUUCCUUUAUUUCCCCCCUUUAUUUCCUCCCUUUAUUUCCACAUCACUCUUGUCAUUAUUUGCUGCUUCUGGAGGGCUUUGCUUUCAUUUCCCUUCAGCAUUUUCUUAUAGAAAAUAAAGAAGAAAAAUCUUCUUCAUUUUAGGGUUAAAAAAAACAAAAAAAGGUUUUCUUUGGUUCCUUUAGAAAAACCAUUUGGGUUUUCUUUAACCCAAAACCUGGGUUCAGUUCCCAUCAGAAAAAGCUCCUGAGGUUUGGUCCAAAAUCCUCCNGUUUAUUCACUCCAUCAAUCACUUUUUAUAACCGUGUUAAUUAAGUUCAUGCAUAUUGCAAUGAACUUAA